GCGUUUGUAGCUCAGCUGGAUAGAGCAGCGGUUUCCUAAACCGUUGGUCGGGGGUUCAAAUCCCUUCAGGCGCACCA
Molecule: transfer RNA, 77 nt
Filed under: Clostridium sp. JN-9
Lineage: Bacteria; Bacillati; Bacillota; Clostridia; Eubacteriales; Clostridiaceae
Description: tRNA-Arg
Rfam family: tRNA
About the family: Transfer RNA (tRNA) molecules are approximately 80 nucleotides in length. Their secondary structure includes four short double-helical elements and three loops (D, anti-codon, and T loops). Further hydrogen bonds mediate the characteristic L-shaped molecular structure. tRNAs have two regions of fundamental functional importance: the anti-codon, which is responsible for specific mRNA codon recognition, and the 3' end, to which the tRNAs corresponding amino acid is attached (by aminoacyl-tRNA synthetases). tRNAs cope with the degeneracy of the genetic code in two manners: having more than one tRNA (with a specific anti-codon) for a particular amino acid; and 'wobble' base-pairing, i.e. permitting non-standard base-pairing at the 3rd anti-codon position.
Source: RNAcentral